CACAAACCAGAAUUCUGGGAAAGCAGAGCUUCAGUGCCCCAGGCCCCUGACUACUGCCCACCCUACAUGUUCUACCAGUCUCUUGGGACCCUCUUCGGCUGCCCCUCUAGGGGUCCCGAAACACUUCAGGAUGGAAAAGAAUAUCGAGUGAUCCAGUAUCAAGGACGCAACAGGGGACGUGACAGCAGAAGACCACAGGGUCACUUCAGCGGGGCAUGCCAUGAAGAUCUCCAUAGAGAAGCACUUUCUAUGCCUGGUUUUACCUAAUUCGCUCUCAGUCACACUCCAGGAGGUUUUGGGCAUAUGAUGCCCAUUUUGCAGAUGAAGAAACUAAGUUUCAAGGAUGUUGUCCAGUGGCUUAUCCAGGGUCACAGAGUAAGAAAAGUCUAACUUGAAUUC
This 399-nucleotide long non-coding RNA is filed under the name Rattus norvegicus (Norway rat). RNAcentral's name for it is "long non-coding RNA NONRATT033521". The record is from RNAcentral. Lineage: Eukaryota; Metazoa; Chordata; Mammalia; Rodentia; Muridae.